AUUGAACGCUGGCGGCAGGCCUAACACAUGCAAGUCGAGCGGAUGAGUGGAGCUUGCUCCAUGAUUCAGCGGCGGACGGGUGAGUAAUGCCUAGGAAUCUGCCCUGGUAGUGGGGGGACAACGUUUCGAAAGGAACGCUAAUACCGCAUACGUCCUACGGGAGAAAGCAGGGGACCUUCGGGCCUUGCGCUAUCAGAUGGGCCUAGGUCGGAUUAGCUAGUAGGUGAGGUAAUGGCUCACCAAGGCGACGAAUCCGUAACUGGUCUGAGAGGAUGGAUCAGUCACACUGGAACUGAGACACGGUCCAGACUCCUACGGGAGGCAGCAGUGGGGAAUAUUGGACAAUGGGCGAAAGGACCUGAGU
This 364-nucleotide ribosomal RNA is filed under the name uncultured bacterium. RNAcentral describes it as "bacterial SSU rRNA". It matches the Rfam family "Bacterial small subunit ribosomal RNA", at positions 30 to 388 of the family's 1533-position model. The record is from RNAcentral.